CGGGGGGCAGCAGUGGGGAAUCUUGCGCAAUGGACGAAAGUCUGACGCAGCAACGCCGCGUGAGGGACGAAGGCUUUCUGAGUUGUAAACCUCUUUCGACAGGAACGAUAAUGACGGUACCUGUAGAAGAAGCACCGGCCAACUAUGUGCCAGCAGCCGCGGUGAUACAUAGGGUGCAAGCGUUAUUCGGAUUUAUUGGGCGUAAAGAGCUCGUAGGCGGUUCGAUCAGUCGGGUGUGAAAUCUCUGGGCUUAACCCAGAGCAGCCACCCGAAACUGUCGUGACUAGAGUUUGGUAGGGGAUCACGGAAUUCCUGGUGUAGCGGUGGAAUGCGCAGAUAUCAGGAGGAACACCAGCAGCGAAGGCGGUGAUCUGGGCCAAUACUGACGCUGAGGAGCGAAAGCGUGGGGAGCGAACAGGAUUAGAUACCCGGGU
RNAcentral lists this ribosomal RNA (434 nucleotides) under uncultured Acidimicrobiales bacterium. Its description in RNAcentral is "bacterial SSU rRNA". It matches the Rfam family "Bacterial small subunit ribosomal RNA", at positions 342 to 791 of the family's 1533-position model. The record is from RNAcentral. Lineage: Bacteria; Bacillati; Actinomycetota; Acidimicrobiia; Acidimicrobiales.